UACGUAGGGGGCUAGCGUUGUCCGGAAUCACUGGGCGUAAAGGGUCCGCAGGCGGAAAUGCAAGUCAGAUGUAAAAGGUAGUAGCUUAACUACUGAAAGCAUUUGAAACUGCAUAUCUUGAGAAGAGUAGAGGUAAGGGGAAUUUCUAGUGUAGCGGUGAAAUGCGUAGAUAUUAGAAAGAAUACCGGUGGCGAAGGCGACUGCCUGGGC
Molecule: ribosomal RNA, 210 nt
Filed under: uncultured bacterium
Lineage: Bacteria
Description: partial 16S ribosomal RNA
Rfam family: Bacterial small subunit ribosomal RNA
Source: RNAcentral